UCAUCAGAUGAAAAUUCGUUGCAGGUAAAAAUCCCAAGUUUCAGAAACACAAUGCAAGAAUGCCCAUUCCGUGAAAAUUGAAUUAUUUUUAAAUUAACAAUGGAUCUAUGCCAAAUAUGAGAACUUUGCAACAACAGUUUUCUUGUUCCAUAAAAAUAUCAAAUUCACCUGAUAACAUACGCAUACAAUUGUAUAAACCAAAUUUCCAAAUUCCAGAAGAAACCAUAAAUGAAAAGAUUCAAUUACAAAACAAAAAUAUCACAAGAAAGUCACCAAAUGGACAAAGACCAGCAAAAAUGAAUUAUAACCCAUAUCAAAUUUUAUAUCAAAAAGCAAAAUUGAGAAAUAUGUGUGUGCGUGUGUAUACAGUAAAGAAAUAGAGUAACAGUGAAGAAUAUGGAAGGAGAGGGAGAUAAAGAGAUACCAUUUGAAUUCAAAUGAAGAAGUAAGG
Molecule: unclassified non-coding RNA, 451 nt
Filed under: Hevea brasiliensis (rubber tree)
Lineage: Eukaryota; Viridiplantae; Streptophyta; Magnoliopsida; Malpighiales; Euphorbiaceae
Source: RNAcentral